CACAUCAAUCCCUAGCUACAUGUCGGGUCUACUUCCUUUGGAUACAAUGCCCCACGGUCCCCGUCGACGCCGUACUGUGACUGCACUUGUACCCACAUGAUGCACCAGGGGAACUAAGUUCCAGAGAUAGUAGGGCGGUCCGCUCACAUCCCGAUUCAAUCAGGUACUAGGCUUCCCAUCCCAUACUAGGUAUGAGAUUAGUACUUUCAAACACUUGAUCACGAACACCGACACGGUUUGACCUUAGCACAAUUUCAUUU
RNAcentral lists this long non-coding RNA (260 nucleotides) under Setaria italica (foxtail millet). RNAcentral's name for it is "long non-coding RNA (SITA_LNC004607)". Lineage: Eukaryota; Viridiplantae; Streptophyta; Magnoliopsida; Poales; Poaceae. The record is from RNAcentral.